Orcinus orca (killer whale) is the source of this 2072-nucleotide long non-coding RNA. RefSeq lists it as uncharacterized. The transcript is spliced from 3 exons. Lineage: Eukaryota; Metazoa; Chordata; Mammalia; Artiodactyla; Delphinidae. The record is from RefSeq and is a predicted model, not a curated record.
GUGGUUUCCUGACCUGCUGCAGAGUAAAGAAACUCAGCCCGGACAUUGGGCUGAAAGUAGACUAGAAGUCAGAGCAUGGAGGUUUAGAACGCAGGGAAAUAAAAACAUAAAGGCAAAUCGUUUUAAAAAUAUAUUCAAAUCAGGUAUGUUUUUCAAACCACCAACCUCUAGUGGCAUCCAGGGGGAAAAAGUGAAUUUCGAGAAUCUGUGGGUGGAAAAUAGAAUCACAGCAUCUUUGGGAGAGGUUCUUUGGUUCAGUGAGACCCGUUUGCCAUCUGAAUACCGUGGCUUGAAGUACCCCAUAAAAAACGAAAAUCUGGACGUAAUUACUACACCAUCCUACUUGCCAACGGGGCCAGUCCAGGACUUCCACUGAUGGCUUCAGCCCUCACACCCCCAGGCCAGGAGCCAGCAGGACAUCCCAGGCACCACAGCACGAUCCAUCUGGGGUCCACUGGGCCCCAGCAGAGAGCUGACACCUGCUUGCCAUCAUGGAGGAGCCUGCCGUCAAGAGGCGCCUGAAGAUGAUUCAACUCAACACUUCAGUCUAUGAAGAUGUGGCCGGGUGUCUUCCGGUGCAGGAAUAUGUCUCGUAUACACACCACUGUCAUAUCAAGUUCAAGGCCCUCAGGGUGCCUACAAGAAGGCCCACAUGGCUAUUCUGUGCUCUGGGCCAGCCCCUCAGGACUGCCCCUUCCAUGAAGAGAUGGAUUGGGUGCUGCAGAUCAAGAGAUGGAUUGGGUGCACCAGCCCAGCCCACCUCAGGGAGCAGACCCGGCCAUGGGAUCUUGACCACCACAACCAGCUGACCCAGCAAAGAAAAAAAAAGUCAUUAGCAGAAAGAUGGGCCAGAAGAGUGCUCUCCUCAGCAGCAGCAGCAGCAGAGGCACCAGAACCAGAGGUGGAAGAUGGAGACAGAGCAUCAGUUUAAGCUAGAAAUGGAAGUGUUGGAGCUGCCCAUGACCUCCGACUUGAAAGCCCGGCUGGUACCCAGACCAACAAGACAACCGAGAUGGAGAUUAGCCAGGAUGCCUAAGAAACUGGGCCAGAAGUCCAGAGGGGACCAGUCUCCAGACAGAGAACAGCCUCAGAGAGAAACUUCGUCAUCAGCUCCUGGGGUGUCUACAGUGCCCCCUAGAGCACAGGUAAGCCAGUGCGCCAGCUCCAGCCCAGAGCCUGACCCUCAGGUGCCACCUGACUGUUGUUGCCAUGAUUGCCACUGAUAUGGCAGCGAACAGGCGCCUGGCCAGUGAACUGGCCUGGGAAUCAGCUGCCCGGCUGCAGGGCCACUGAGACCAGCACAAUUCCCACAUGGCCGUCCUGGUCCAAAUGGUCCACCUACACCCAGCCCCAGGAGGCAGUAGCCAUUCUUCAGGACAGAAUGGGCUGAGGGUGACAACUAACUGUCUGAACCUACACUGGAACAUUCUCUCUUUUCUUUUUUUCUUAAAAGAUAUAAUUUUUAUUUAUUUUUGGCUGUGUUGGGUCUUCGUUGCUGCACGCGGGCUUUCUCUAGUUGUGGCGAGCGGUGGCUACUCUUUGUUGCGGUGCAUGGGCUUCUCAUUGCAGUGGCUUCUCUUGUUGCCGAGCACAGGCUCUAGGCAUGUGGGCUUCCGUAGUUGUGGCGUGCGGGCUCAGUAGUUGUGACAUGCGUGCUGUAGAGCGUGGGCUCAGUAGUUGUGGCGCAUGGGCUUAGUUGCUCCGCACAUGUGGGAUCUUCCCGGACCGGGGAUCGAACCCAUGUCCUCUGCAUUGGCAGGUGGAUUCUUAUCCACUGUGCCACCAGGGAAGUCCAGAACAUUCUUAAUUGUGUGAUAUUAUGGUAAGCAUUUUGUGUAUGAACUUUUUUAGUCUUUGUAAGCACAGAUACAGCCUAUUUUAGGCCUUAAGGUCUCAAAGCAUCCUUGGUGUCUUAUUUAGGGUGAUAUAGUAAAGAGAGUAGAAUACACAGAUAACUCAUAAUGCUCACCUCCAACUACUAAUCCAUGGGGAUAGGUGUUUUAGUGGAUAUUUUCAAACUCCCUGAAGGGAAGACAGUUACCUGUGAUGCUCUAUCACCAAAUGAUGGUAAA